This 260-nucleotide non-coding RNA is filed under the name Thalassobium sp. R2A62. RNAcentral describes it as "Thalassiobium sp. R2A62 Ruegeria trans44 sRNA". It matches the Rfam family "Ruegeria trans44 sRNA". Rfam says of the family: Trans-encoded. Higher sRNA expression during C-limited growth. Lineage: Bacteria; Pseudomonadati; Pseudomonadota; Alphaproteobacteria; Rhodobacterales; Paracoccaceae. The record is from Rfam by way of RNAcentral.
CAUCGCGAUGCUCCUUAAUUCAGGGAGAUAUCGUUAUGAAAAUACUCUCAAAGAAAGCGCUCAAAGAGUUGGUCUCGUACUCACUUCAACACAUCGCUCGAUUAGAGAAGGCAGGCACAUUUCCCAAGCGGGUAAUGCUGGGCCCUAACCGUGUCGGAUGGGUGGAACAGGAAGUCUUGGACUGGCUUGAAGAGCGACUACUCGCUCGAGAGUAAACACAUGCUUCUUUGGAGCAUGGGCGGCCCGGAGGUGCACACUUC